This 460-nucleotide ribosomal RNA is filed under the name uncultured bacterium. RNAcentral's name for it is "partial 16S ribosomal RNA". It matches the Rfam family "Bacterial small subunit ribosomal RNA", at positions 338 to 795 of the family's 1533-position model. The record is from RNAcentral.
CCUACGGGAGGCAGCAGUGAGGAAUAUUGGUCAAUGGACGAGAGUCUGAACCAGUCAAGUAGCGUGAAGGAUGACUGCCCUAUGGGUUGUAAACUUCUUUUAUAUGGGAAUAAAACGUUCCACGUGUGGGAUUUUGUAUGUACCAUAUGAAUAAGGAUCGGCUAACUCCGUGCCAGCAGCCGCGGUAAUACGGAGGAUCCGAGCGUUAUCCGGAUUUAUUGGGUUUAAAGGGAGCGUAGGUGGAUUGUUAAGUCAGUUGUGAAAGUUUGCGGCUCAACCGUAAGAUUGCAGUUGAAACUGGCAGUCUUGAGUACAGUAGAGGUGGGCGGAAUUCGUGGUGUAGCGGUGAAAUGCUUAGAUAUCACGAAGAACUCCGAUUGCGAAGGCAGUUCACUGGACUGCAACUGACACUGAGGCUCGAAAGUGUGGGUAUCAAACAGGAUUAGAUACCCCGGUAGUC